RNAcentral lists this long non-coding RNA (1309 nucleotides) under Felis catus (domestic cat). Its description in RNAcentral is "lncRNA (ENSFCAG00000050347.1)". The record is from RNAcentral. Lineage: Eukaryota; Metazoa; Chordata; Mammalia; Carnivora; Felidae.
AUGCAUGGUGGUGCUGAUACUGCUGUGAUCGAUGGCUUCCUCGAUUAUUUUCUUGAAUAUCAUUUAGCACUUGUUGGGUCACAAGUGGCAGAAAACUUGAUUCAAGCUGGGUUAACAGGAGGAAAGAAAAGAGAGGAAUUGAUUAGCCCACGUUAUGGAAAACUUCAGAACUGCCUCAGGCUUAGCUGGCUAGAAGCACUGAUAACAUUGGUUUCUAAUGAAAAGAAAUGGGCAGAAGCCCUGAAUGGAUGUUUUUCCAAAGAGGACAUACAGAUGGUUUCUGGCUUCUUUUGCAGCCUCCAGCUUUAUUUCUCUCUCUCUGUUGCUUUGAGCCUCAAACUGUGUAACUUCAAACUGUCUGGCGACUGCUAGGCUGCCCCUGGUUUGCACCGUGGCCGUCGCUCUUCCCCAUUCAGCUUAGCUGGAAACAAUGAGCUUUUUUUCCCUUCAGGCAAACAGAGAUCCUGGGCCUCAGAAUCACUUGCCAGAUUCGGGACACAUGCUUAAUUUCUGAACAAAUCAUUUCUGACCAUCCCUGGAGUUGAUGGGGAAGUAAGUGAAACCCACCCGAAGCAAACGAGCAGAGGGGUGAACGCAGCUCUUCAAAGGAGACUCAGAGAACUGUUUUCAGCAGCAAAGGGACAAUGGAUGAUGAGGGGACACAGCAGAUGUCUUCCACACCUUUCUCCCGUCUUUCGUCCUGUUAUUAAUCAACCCCCUGUGCGCCUUGUCAGGGGCUCACGGCGAAGUUGCUCACCUUUCAGCAGAGGGACGUGGGCUUAAUCCUCUCCUGCAGCUCUUAGAACUCCAAUUAGGUAUGUCUACCUCUGCCUCUGUACCUCCGUCAUUUCCUUGUGUAAACACUUGUAUUGGCUCCCCUUUGCCCACAGGAUGAUUCUUGGUGUCAGCGUUCAGUGGCCCACCAGUCUGGUAUUCCGUGCUGCUUUAUACCUGGAAUACUGGUAUUUCUGUUGGUGUCAUACUGUUAAUUUAGGAAUUUUAAAAAAAAAAUCUCAAUUAUUUAUGUCUUGAUAUACCACAGACAUGCUUCAUUAAGACUUGGACUAUAUAGGUGGGGCACCUGGGUGGCUCAGUCGGUUGAGCGUCCGACUUUGGCUCAGGUCGUGAUCUCAUAGUUUGUGGGUUCGAGCCCUGCAUCAGGCUCGGUGCUGACCGCUUGCUCAGCGCCUGGAGCCUGCUUCAGAUUCUGUGUCUCCAUCUCUCUCUGCCCCUCCCCUGCUCACGCUUUGUCUCACUCUGUUUCUCAAAAACAAAUAAAUGUAAAAAAAAUUUUUUUAAAGACUUUGAC